RNAcentral lists this microRNA precursor (201 nucleotides) under Oryza glumipatula. Its description in RNAcentral is "MIR812 microRNA precursor family". It matches the Rfam family "MIR812 microRNA precursor family". The record is from Rfam by way of RNAcentral. Lineage: Eukaryota; Viridiplantae; Streptophyta; Magnoliopsida; Poales; Poaceae.
AAAAAGACAAACUCUAGAUUUCCGUGUCCAACAUUUGACUGUCCGUCUUAUAUGAAAUUUUUUUAUAAUUAAUAUUUUUAUUGUUGUUAGAUGAUAAAACAUGAUUAAUACUUUAUGCAUGACUUAUCUUUUUUUUUUAUAAUUUUUUAAAUAAGAUGGACGGUUAAACGUUGGACACGGAAACCUAGGGUUUGUCUUUUU